Molecule: ribosomal RNA, 245 nt
Filed under: uncultured crenarchaeote
Lineage: Archaea; Thermoproteati; Thermoproteota
Description: partial 16S ribosomal RNA
Rfam family: Archaeal small subunit ribosomal RNA
Source: RNAcentral
UAUUGGGCCUAAGCAUCCGUAGCCGGUUCUACAAGUCUUCCGUUAAAUCCACCUGCUCAACAGAUGGGCUGCGGAAGAUACUAUGGAGCUAGGAGGCGGGAGAGGCAAGCGGUACUCGAUGGGUAGGGGUAAAAUCCGUUGAUCCAUUGAAGACCACCAGUGGCGAAGGCGGCUUGCCAGAACGCGCUCGACGGUGAGGGAUGAAAGCUGGGGGAGCAAACCGGAUUAGAUACCCCCGUAGUCCA